This 267-nucleotide ribosomal RNA is filed under the name uncultured bacterium. Its description in RNAcentral is "partial 16S ribosomal RNA". It matches the Rfam family "Bacterial small subunit ribosomal RNA", at positions 524 to 785 of the family's 1533-position model. The record is from RNAcentral.
UACGUAGGGUGCAAGCGUUAAUCGGAAUUACUGGGCGUAAAGCGUGCGCAGGCGGUGAUGUAAGACAGAUGUGAAAUCCCCGGGCUCAACCUGGGAACUGCAUUUGUGACUGCAUCGCUGGAGUACGGCAGAGGGGGAUGGAAUUCCGCGUGUAGCAGUGAAAUGCGUAGAUAUGCGGAGGAACACCGAUGGACGAAGGCAGUGUCCUGGGGAGUACCUGACGCUCAGGUGGACGAAAGCCAGGGGAGCGAACGGGAUUAGACGUAC